UUAAGGUGAAAUGAAGUGUGGCCCAGUG
RNAcentral lists this non-coding RNA (28 nucleotides) under Homo sapiens (human). The record is from RNAcentral. Lineage: Eukaryota; Metazoa; Chordata; Mammalia; Primates; Hominidae.